This 292-nucleotide ribosomal RNA is filed under the name uncultured bacterium. Its description in RNAcentral is "partial 16S ribosomal RNA". It matches the Rfam family "Bacterial small subunit ribosomal RNA", at positions 505 to 796 of the family's 1533-position model. The record is from RNAcentral.
GUGCCAGCCGCCGCGGUAAUACGGAGGGUGCAAACGUUGCUCGGAAUUAUUGGGCGUAAAGCGUACGUAGGCGGCUCGUCAAGUCGGGUGUGAAAGCCCUCGGCUUAACCGAGGAAGUGCAUUCGAAACUAGCGAGCUUGAAUACUGAAGAGGAUCGCGGAAUUCCCGGUGUAGAGGUGAAAUUCGUAGAUAUCGGGAGGAACACCAGUGGCGAAGGCGGCGAUCUGGGCAGAUAUUGACGCUGAUGUACGAAAGCGUGGGGAGCAAACAGGAUUAGAAACCCCAGUAGUCC